This 73-nucleotide transfer RNA is filed under the name Mycobacterium tuberculosis variant bovis AF2122/97. Its description in RNAcentral is "tRNA-Pro". It matches the Rfam family "tRNA". From Rfam's summary of the family: Transfer RNA (tRNA) molecules are approximately 80 nucleotides in length. Their secondary structure includes four short double-helical elements and three loops (D, anti-codon, and T loops). Further hydrogen bonds mediate the characteristic L-shaped molecular structure. tRNAs have two regions of fundamental functional importance: the anti-codon, which is responsible for specific mRNA codon recognition, and the 3' end, to which the tRNAs corresponding amino acid is attached (by aminoacyl-tRNA synthetases). tRNAs cope with the degeneracy of the genetic code in two manners: having more than one tRNA (with a specific anti-codon) for a particular amino acid; and 'wobble' base-pairing, i.e. permitting non-standard base-pairing at the 3rd anti-codon position. The record is from RNAcentral. Lineage: Bacteria; Bacillati; Actinomycetota; Actinomycetes; Mycobacteriales; Mycobacteriaceae.
GGGGUGUAGCGCAGCUUGGUAGCGCAUCCGCUUUGGGAGCGGAAGGCCGCAGGUUCAAAUCCUGUCACCCCGA